RNAcentral lists this ribosomal RNA (391 nucleotides) under Burkholderia sp. GR1-E13. RNAcentral's name for it is "bacterial SSU rRNA". It matches the Rfam family "Bacterial small subunit ribosomal RNA", at positions 27 to 420 of the family's 1533-position model. The record is from RNAcentral. Lineage: Bacteria; Pseudomonadati; Pseudomonadota; Betaproteobacteria; Burkholderiales; Burkholderiaceae.
GAUUGAACGCUGGCGGCAUGCCUUACACAUGCAAGUCGGACGGCAGCGCGGGCUUCGGCCUGGCGGCGAGUGGCGAACGGGUGAGUAAUACAUCGGAACGUAUCCUGGAGUGGGGGAUAGCCCGGCGAAAGCCGGAUUAAUACCGCAUACGCUCUGAGGAGGAAAGCGGGGGACCUUCGGGCCUCGCGCUCAAGGGGCGGCCGAUGGCGGAUUAGGUAGUUGGUGGGGUAAAGGCCUACCAAGCCGACGAUCCGUAGCUGGUCUGAGAGGACGACCAGCCACACUGGGACUGAGACACGGCCCAGACUCCUACGGGAGGCAGCAGUGGGGAAUUUUGGACAAUGGGGGCAACCCUGAUCCAGCAAUGCCGCGUGUGUGAAGAAGGCCUUCG